Molecule: ribosomal RNA, 286 nt
Filed under: uncultured bacterium
Lineage: Bacteria
Description: partial 16S ribosomal RNA
Rfam family: Bacterial small subunit ribosomal RNA
Source: RNAcentral
GACGAACGCUGGCGGCGUGCUUAACACAUGCAAGUCGAGCGGUAAGGCCCUUUCGGGGGUACACGAGCGGCGAACGGGUGAGUAACACGUGGGUGACCUGCCCUCAGCUCUGGGAUAAGCCUGGGAAACCGGGUCUAAUACUGGAUAUGACUCCAUGACGCAUGUUGUGGGGUGGAAAGCCUUGUGCGGCUGAGGAUGGGCCCGCGGCCUAUCAGCUUGUUGGUGGGGUGANGGCCUACCAAGGCGACGACGGGUAGCCGGCCUGAGAGGGCGACCGGCCACACGG